RNAcentral lists this long non-coding RNA (1433 nucleotides) under Bos grunniens (domestic yak). RNAcentral describes it as "lncRNA (ENSBGRG00000014036.1)". Lineage: Eukaryota; Metazoa; Chordata; Mammalia; Artiodactyla; Bovidae. The record is from RNAcentral.
AUGAUGGGGAGGGGAGACGCUGAGGAGAGCAGUCAGGGCGGGACACUGCCUCCGGCUCCGAUGCUGUUGCUUCUUGCCCGCCUCUCUGCCUCUAGUAGUUUUCUUUCUCUCCCCCUCUUCUCGCUCUGUCUCUCUGUGCCCCACUCUCUCAUUCUCCACUUUGGUCUCUUGGUUCCAGAAAAGCCCCUCCCCCGGGAGGGCCCAGGAAUUAUGGCGAGGCUCCUGGGGUGUGCCGUGGCCGUGGCCCUCAUCCUCAGUGUGGCUUCCACUGUCUUUCUGUAUCACUGGCAGCAGAAGAACCGGCUGGAGAUGGAUGGGGGCGGGACUGCCCUGCCUCUCUCCCAGGAGCCAGAACCUUCUCCCAGCAGGCAGAGCCACCUUGCACUUAAGAACAUCCAGAUUCUUGGCCUAGAGCUGGAGAAGCAGCAGCUACAGCAGGAAGAGGAUGAACUGCAGAAGCUGCCCCCACAGCCCCCCUACUACGAUCUGGGGGCCUCCCCCUCCUACCACCCCUUGGCCUUUGUCUCCACAGCCUCACCACGCUCCCUCUCGGCUGGAAGGGCCAAAGAGAAUGCAUCUCAAGAUGCCAAACCUUGCCCCUGGGAGGCAGCGUUCCUAUCCCGGGUGCUCAGCCCAGAGGACCAACCCGGCCCCCACCUUCCAAUUCCAUGCAGGGGCCUUCCCUCCCCAGGCUCUGCUCAUGGUGGAUUGACAGAAGGCUCAAAUGAGUUGGAGGCUUCAGGACUCAAGACCACUUGGGAGGAAGAGCAGAGUGAGCCACUUUUCUUCCCCCAGCCAUGGGCAGGAAGGGUUAGCUGAUGGGCGCACUCUGAGUCUUGGACACAGAGGCCGUGAGAUGAGGGCACCAGGGUGGCUGGACACUUGUGAGAACGGCCUGUGGGGUGGUACACGGAGGUCACCUCCAGCAUCCCAGGGAGGCGCCGGUGUUGCCAAGACUGGUGUAAUUCCUUUCGGCUUACAGAGCAAUUACGGGGCCUGGAGAGGAUUUAUUCCCAGCACUCGGGUUUGUUGGCGGUGCAGCUUGUAUACAAGUCACAUUAUUGACGUUGUCAUCAAUUCUCCUUCCCAACAAGUAGUGAGAGGGAGCCAAGAAGAGAGCAUGCACCGUUCACUGAGGCAGGGCUCUGGAGGGAAGCCUGCAGGGGGCCCCAGGGACCAACAAGUAGAGACUCCCCCUUCCAAGCCUACUGGCCCCAGCCUGGGUGGGCCAGGUCCCAUGCUGCCCACACACUCAAGGGCAUUCAGCAAGGGUGUGACGCAUCUCUCAAUUUCUAUCGAGGUUUCUGGGCUAGGAGUCCACUCAGACAGCAGGUACCACUUGAAAGGCUGGCUGGCUUGGGGCUAGAUCUUGGGGAGGACUUCCAGAGGCUCCAAGGUAGAUGCCUAGAAGAAGUGGGAGGAGGGAGUGCUGC